This 460-nucleotide ribosomal RNA is filed under the name uncultured bacterium. RNAcentral's name for it is "partial 16S ribosomal RNA". It matches the Rfam family "Bacterial small subunit ribosomal RNA", at positions 338 to 795 of the family's 1533-position model. The record is from RNAcentral.
CCUACGGGGGGCAGCAGUGAGGAAUAUUGGUCAAUGGACGAGAGUCUGAACCAGCCAAGUAGCGUGAAGGAUGACUGCCCUAUGGGUUGUAAACUUCUUUUAUAUGGGAAUAAAACGUUCCACGUGUGGGAUUUUGUAUGUACCAUAUGAAUAAGGAUCGGCUAACUCCGUGCCAGCAGCCGCGGUAAUACGAAGGAUCCGAGCGUUAUCCGGAUUUAUUGGGUUUAAAGGGAGCGUAGGUGGAUUGUUAAGUCAGUUGUGAAAGUUUGCGGCUCAACCGUAAAAUUGCAGUUGAAACUGGCAGUCUUGAGUACAGUAGAGGUGGGCGGAAUUCGUGGUGUAGCGGUGAAAUGCUUAGAUAUCACGAAGAACUCCGAUUGCGAAGGCAGUUCACUGGACUGCAACUGACACUGAGGCUCGAAAGUGUGGGUAUCAAACAGGAUUAGAUACCCGUGUAGUC